Molecule: ribosomal RNA, 1423 nt
Filed under: metagenome
Description: bacterial SSU rRNA
Rfam family: Bacterial small subunit ribosomal RNA
Source: RNAcentral
AGAGUUUGAUCCUGGCUCAGGAUGAACGCUGGCGGCGUGCUUAACACAUGCAAGUCGAACGCACCUUCGGGUGAGUGGCGGACGGGUGAGUAACGCGUGAGAAUCUGCCCUCAGGAGGGGGAUAACGGCUGGAAACGGCCGCUAAUACCCCAUAUGCCGAGAGGUGAAACGAGUUUUCGCCUGAGGAUGAGCUCGCGUCUGAUUAGCUAGUUGGUGGGGUAAGAGCCUACCAAGGCAUCGAUCAGUAGCUGGUCUGAGAGGAUGAUCAGCCACACUGGGACUGAGACACGGCCCAGACUCCUACGGGAGGCAGCAGUGGGGAAUUUUCCGCAAUGGGCGAAAGCCUGACGGAGCAACGCCGCGUGAGGGACGAAGGCCUCUGGGCUGUAAACCUCUUUUCUCAAGGAAGAAGAUCUGACGGUACUUGAGGAAUAAGCCACGGCUAAUUCCGUGCCAGCAGCCGCGGUAAUACGGGAGUGGCAAGCGUUAUCCGGAAUUAUUGGGCGUAAAGCGUCCGCAGGCGGUCUUGAAAGUCUGUUGUUAAAGCGUGGAGCUUAACUCCAUUUCAGCAAUGGAAACUAGAAGACUAGAGUGUGGUAGGGGCAGAGGGAAUUCCCGGUGUAGCGGUGAAAUGCGUAGAUAUCGGGAAGAACACCAGUGGCGAAGGCGCUCUGCUGGGCCAUAACUGACGCUCAUGGACGAAAGCCAGGGGAGCGAAAGGGAUUAGAUACCCCUGUAGUCCUGGCCGUAAACGAUGAACACUAGGUGUCGGGGGAAUCGACCCCCUCGGUGUCGUAGCCAACGCGUUAAGUGUUCCGCCUGGGGAGUACGCACGCAAGUGUGAAACUCAAAGGAAUUGACGGGGGCCCGCACAAGCGGUGGAGUAUGUGGUUUAAUUCGAUGCAACGCGAAGAACCUUACCAGGGUUUGACAUCCUGCGAACCCCUUGGAAACGAGGGGGUGCCUUCGGGAGCGCAGAGACAGGUGGUGCAUGGCUGUCGUCAGCUCGUGUCGUGAGAUGUUGGGUUAAGUCCCGCAACGAGCGCAACCCACGUCUUUAGUUGCCAGCAUUCAGUUGGGCACUCUAGAGAGACCGCCGGUGAUAAACCGGAGGAAGGUGUGGAUGACGUCAAGUCAUCAUGCCCCUUACAUCCAGGGCUACACACGUACUACAAUGCUACGGACAAAGGGCAGCAAACUCGCGAGAGCUAGCAAAUCCCAUAAACCGUGGCUCAGUUCAGAUCGUAGGCUGCAACUCGCCUACGUGAAGGAGGAAUCGCUAGUAAUCGCAGGUCAGCAUACUGCGGUGAAUACGUUCCCGGGCCUUGUACACACCGCCCGUCACACCAUGGAAGUUGGCCACGCCCGAAGUCGUUACUCCAACCCUUGUGGAGGAGGACGCCGAAGGUGGGGCUGGUGACUG